RNAcentral lists this transfer RNA (75 nucleotides) under Clostridioides difficile DA00191. Its description in RNAcentral is "tRNA-Glu". The stretch from base 7 to 64 matches the Rfam family "tRNA", at positions 8 to 63 of the family's 71-position model. Rfam says of the family: Transfer RNA (tRNA) molecules are approximately 80 nucleotides in length. Lineage: Bacteria; Bacillati; Bacillota; Clostridia; Peptostreptococcales; Peptostreptococcaceae. The record is from RNAcentral.
GCUCGUUGGUCAAGAGGUUAAGACACCGCCCUUUCACGGCGGACUGUGAGGGUUCGAUCCCCUUCACCCGCUCCA